RNAcentral lists this ribosomal RNA (445 nucleotides) under uncultured bacterium. RNAcentral's name for it is "partial 16S ribosomal RNA". It matches the Rfam family "Bacterial small subunit ribosomal RNA", at positions 354 to 796 of the family's 1533-position model. The record is from RNAcentral.
GUGAGGAAUAUUGGUCAAUGGGCGAAAGCCUGAACCAGCCAUGUCGCGUGAAGGAUGAAGGUCCUAUGGAUUGUAAACUUCUUUUGCAGGAGGGUAAAGUGAGCUACGUGUAGUUCAUUGCAAGUACCCUGCGAAUAAGCAUCGGCUAACUCCGUGCCAGCAGCCGCGGUAAUACGGAGGAUGCGAGCGUUAUCCGGAUUUAUUGGGUUUAAAGGGUGCGUAGGCGGACUAAUUAGUCAGAGGUGAAAUUUUGCGGCUCAACUGUAAAACUGCCGUUGAAACUGUUAGUCUUGAGUGCGGUAGAGGUAGGCGGAAUGUGUGGUGUAGCGGUGAAAUGCUUAGAUAUCACACAGAACACCGAUUGCGUAGGCAGCUUACUGGAGCGCAACUGACGCUGAGGCACGAAAGCGUGGGGAUCGAACAGGAUUAGAUACCCCGGUAGUCC